CCUAAAAAGCAAAUACAUGCUAAAAACCCCGACUUCGGGAGGGGUGUAUUUAUUAAAUAAAAAACCAAUGCCCCUCGGGGCUCCUUGGUGAUUCAUAAUAACUUAACGAAUCGCAUGGCCUUGCGCCGGCGAUGGUUCAUUCAAAUUUCUGCCCUAUCAACUUUCGAUGGUAGGAUAGUGGCCUACCAUGGUGGCAACGGGUAACGGGGAAUUAGGGUUCGAUUCCGGAGAGGGAGCCUGAGAAACGGCUACCACAUCCAAGGAAGGCAGCAGGCGCGCAAAUUACCCAAUCCCGACACGGGGAGGUAGUGACAAUAAAUACUGAUACGGGGCUCUUUUGGGUCUCGUAAUUGGAAUGAGAACAAUUUAAAUCCCUUAACGAGGAACAAUUGGAGGGCAAGUCUGGUGCCAGCAGCCGCGGUAAUUCCAGCUCCAAUAGCGUAUAUUAAAGUUGUUGCAGUUAAAAAGCUCGUAGUUGAACCUUGGGUCUGGCUGGCCGGUCCGCCUCACCGCGAGUACUGGUCCGGCUGGACCUUUCCUUCUGGGGAACCCCAUGGCCUUCACUGGCUGUGGGGGGAACCAGGACUUUUACUGUGAAAAAAUUAGAGUGUUCAAAGCAGGCCUUUGCUCGGAUACAUUAGCAUGGAAUAAUAGAAUAGGACGUGCGGAUCUAUUUUGAUGGUUUCUAGGACCGCCGUAAUGAUUAAUA
RNAcentral lists this ribosomal RNA (709 nucleotides) under Aspergillus nidulans. Its description in RNAcentral is "SSU rRNA". It matches the Rfam family "Eukaryotic small subunit ribosomal RNA", at positions 155 to 874 of the family's 1831-position model. The record is from RNAcentral. Lineage: Eukaryota; Fungi; Ascomycota; Eurotiomycetes; Eurotiales; Aspergillaceae.